CUCAAAUUUGAAAUCUGGCUGUCUUCGAUAGUCCGAGUUGUAAUCUAUAGAAGCGUUUUCCGUGCUGAACUGUGUCUAAGUCCCUUGGAACAGGGUAUCAAAGAGGGUGAUAAUCCCGUACUUGACACAAUCAUCAGUGCUCUGUGAUACGUUCUCUACGAGUCGAGUUGUUUGGGAAUGCAGCUCAAAAUGGGUGGUAAAUUCCAUCUAAAGCUAAAUAUUGGCGAGAGACCGAUAGCGAACAAGUACCGUGAGGGAAAGAUGAAAAGCACUUUGGAAAGAGAGUUAAACAGUACGUGAAAUUGUUGAAAGGGAAACGAUUGAAGUCAGUCGUGUUCAUUGGAUUCAGCUAGUUCUUCUAGUCUACUUCCUUUGAACGGGUCAACAUCAGUUUUGUCCGGUGGAUAAAGGAUUUAGGAAUGUGACUCCCUCGGGAGUGUUAUAGCCUAGGUUCACAUACACUGGGUGAGACUGAGGACUGCAGCUCGCCUUUUGGCCGGGGUUCGCCCACGUUCGAGCUUAGGAUGUUGACAUAAUGGCUUUAAACGAC
Molecule: ribosomal RNA, 550 nt
Filed under: Apiotrichum montevideense
Lineage: Eukaryota; Fungi; Basidiomycota; Tremellomycetes; Trichosporonales; Trichosporonaceae
Description: eukaryotic LSU rRNA
Rfam family: Eukaryotic large subunit ribosomal RNA
Source: RNAcentral